Nocardioides sp. PD653 is the source of this 73-nucleotide transfer RNA. It matches the Rfam family "tRNA". From Rfam's summary of the family: Transfer RNA (tRNA) molecules are approximately 80 nucleotides in length. Their secondary structure includes four short double-helical elements and three loops (D, anti-codon, and T loops). Lineage: Bacteria; Bacillati; Actinomycetota; Actinomycetes; Propionibacteriales; Nocardioidaceae. The record is from Rfam.
GCGGACAUAGCUCAGUUGGUAGAGCGCAACCUUGCCAAGGUUGAGGUCGCGAGUUCGAGUCUCGUUGUCCGCU